Panicum virgatum (switchgrass) is the source of this 2320-nucleotide long non-coding RNA. RefSeq lists it as uncharacterized. The record is from RefSeq and is a predicted model, not a curated record. NCBI's taxonomy places the organism in Eukaryota, Viridiplantae, Streptophyta, Magnoliopsida, Poales, Poaceae. The transcript is spliced from 4 exons.
GUCUCCACCGCGGCUCUGCCAGAGGCGGAUUCGCCCGCCACAACGGCUGCGGCGGCGGCCUUCCUAUUCCUCAUCCCCACCGGAAGCUAGGUUCCCGGUAGAUGCGAAUCGCCAUUGAUCCCCACGUCCUCCGUCGACGCUGCUACCGUCGCAGCCCCUAAAUGCGAGAGCAGCGCCGUAGCAACGGCCAGAAAAUCUGAAAAGGGACACAUGAUCUUGCUGCCGUGAAGGUGAUCCAGCACGCAACCGCGCUGCCAUAAGGCUUCAUGUAAGUUCAAUCCACACCCUACAGGGCUACAGGUUAACCACAAUGGUUUGGCCUUGGAAACUUCUCCUUUCUAAGUUCUAAGUUUAUCUUGGUUAUUCUCUAUUAGUGCCUCUCUGCUGAGGUUAUGGGGAACAUGCUUUUGACCUUUUGUUAAUCUAGGCUUUCAUCAGAUUGAACUAGCUGCUGGUAGCCGAUUGUGGAUGAUGCCUUUUAAGAUUCCCAAAUUUCUAACUUGUACAUGUUAGCACUUAGCAUUUGCUACAAGUUAAAAAAGCACCAUGCAAAUGAUUGACCUUACGAUAAAUACUUGGUAAACACGGGGUCAGGAUGUGCACAGUCUCAUUGAGCUACACGUGGCAAACAGCAUAAUCAUCCUAAUCGUCACUACAUCACGAAAAAUGACAGACACGAGGUAGCGGCUAAGUAUAAAUAAUUAAAUACCCAUGUUACAUGCACUUCAUUACAGGAAUAGGGGAUGCAAGUGAGUGACUUUUUUGGUUUAGUGGACGCUAGUGUACUGGGCAGUGGGCACCAACGAUAGUGUGCACGUCUUUUAUUUUUUUUGCUUAUUGCCAUCAGUAACAACCCAUGUGCCCUAAGGCAAAGAAGCAUCAAAUUGUAUGGUGGAGGUUAUUUGCUUGUUUGCCGAUCAACCAGCUUGCCUCCUCCUCGAAUGGAGGCUUCACAGCAGGUAGAGAAUUCUCUUUUCAUGUUCGUUUCUGAAAGCGUCUAUUCAAUCCCAUGAUGAAGGGAUGUGCACCAAUAGAUGCCAGCGAUGCAGGCGUGUGGUGAUGCCAGCUGAGGAGCUUGGCAUGGAUGUAGCCGGCUUCAACAGGACAUCUGCAGCUCUCAAACACAGUCAUAAGUUCAUGACAUUUCCACCAUCUUGUGGAAGGUCAGACGACCCCCCCCCCCCCCCACCACACACACACACGGGGCAUGGACUGCAAGUCUGCAACGCAUCAGGACAUUGGCAUUGAUCCAAGUUUGUCGCCCUCAAACGUGCUGAGGUUGAGAUUGACCUGCUGCAGGCAUUUUCUGAACUUUUGGUUAAAAAGGCAUGUGCAUUGUUUAAUUCAAUGCUCUCUCUUUUGUGUCGACCUACAGAAAUGUCGUGAUAGCUCCAACCUUAAUUUUCAGAAUUUGCUUUCUCUUUCACUGUUGAAACUGUUGGUGUUAUUGGUUUUAUUUUUAUACAUUGCCUUUCAAGUUGCUUAUUCUCGAUGAAUUAAUAUGUUCCCCUGUUGCACAAUGUUCAAAACUUAGCUCCUGGUUUAGCUUUUUUUUUUUGUGUGUUAGCUCCUGUCUGCAGAGAUAUUUCUAACACCCUAACGGACAAUGUUCCCCUAUUGCACAAUGGGCAAAAAAUAGCUCCUGAUUUAGCUUUCUUGUUUUUUUGUUUACCUCCUGUGUACACUCCAUUUUCCAUCAUUGAGUUCCGUAAUGACUGAAAAGUCAGAAAUGGCACCUAUCUUACAUUGUUAGUUUUGAAGCGCGUAGAUUGAUGUUUUGGAGAUAUAUACUAAUUUUCCAGGUUAAUUCACUACAGUGCUUUGAGAUGCAGGCUACAGUGCACUAGCUCAAUAAUGGAGCUGUAGGAUUACAGGAGAUAGUGGAUCUUGCCGCUCAUACUGCGAAUUUGAGCUGUGGAGGAGACCAUGCAGUGGCAUGAUUUCUGUACCGAUGGGGAAGUUUUUGUCUAGUGGGAAGGCGUGCUCCAGUAAGCAGUGUGUAAUGGUACUAUUUGAUUCAGCACUGUAAACAGAUGGCCAUCUGUGCGCAGGACAAUGAAUGAUUUUUAUGUCCUGAUUACUUUGUAGCCUUUCUCCUGGCGGUACUUCUACUACGUCUCGCCAUCAUCAGCAACUCAUCACAGGUCCUCGAAGAACAUUUUUUUUAUUGAUAAAUGUAAUCUGUGUAGUCAAAUGUAUAUAUGUAUUUUUGCUGUAAUUUGCUGAACUAAUGCAAAAUGCAGAUAGAGCACCAGAAUGUAGGUUUGUUGCUCUGCUCUGGUCAUGGAAUUCGUUGUAUCUACAACAUCAAAUUUGCUCU